AAAAAUAAAAACAAAAUAUUAAUUUCUAUGUAAUAAUAAAAAACAAUGAGGUAGGCUUACCCAUAUCUCUCUCCCUCACGAGAUUCUCUGACUCAAGUCCCAGCGUUCACACAGAACAAACGCAUAACCAAACCAAACCAAACGCCAGCUCCCGCUCACCUGCAACUAAAUUACAAAACCACUCACAUUAACCACACUUUCACCAUAAUUACCACUACUAAUCCAUUUUUCUUAAAUUCUUACCCGACAAGGUAAGAAUCACAGGCAGUAAAAAAAAAAACCACCUGUCACUGUCUCAAAAGAAAUUAUUACUACGCGUCUCCGUACAACAACUGACCCGAGGUGGCACACCAAUCUUCCCCCGCGCCUCGUAACACCUGAUCUUUUUCUAGCUUUGACAGCAUUUAAGGCG
RNAcentral lists this long non-coding RNA (412 nucleotides) under Prunus persica (peach). RNAcentral describes it as "long non-coding RNA (PPER_LNC005713)". Lineage: Eukaryota; Viridiplantae; Streptophyta; Magnoliopsida; Rosales; Rosaceae. The record is from RNAcentral.